ACAGUGGAAUUCGACUCAGGAAUAACGGAGCUACAGAUAACAGAAAGUGCCAAGUGUAUGUCCUCAAGCGAGCUGCCGUGUCAGGAGAGUAUGUCCUGGCCGGGUACAAAGUGCAUGAAAUCUGAUCCACAACACCAUAUAAAGCUGAGCCUGGUGGUACAUAGACAUCAGAGGUUCGAGGACACCCAGGCACUAUCGAGGCUACCUGACACUCAGUCUCAGAAAACAGAACAAAAUAAAAUCUUAAUGACGUCAA
Long non-coding RNA from Mastomys coucha (southern multimammate mouse), 256 nucleotides. RefSeq lists it as uncharacterized. The record is from RefSeq and is a predicted model, not a curated record. NCBI's taxonomy places the organism in Eukaryota, Metazoa, Chordata, Mammalia, Rodentia, Muridae. The transcript has 2 exons.